AUGUACCACUCGUACACUCCGGUUCCUGUGCGCCGCCCGCACCCGCCUGACGACUGCUCGCCACAUAACGCAGGUUGGCC
This 80-nucleotide small RNA is filed under the name Xanthomonas vasicola. RNAcentral's name for it is "sX9 sRNA". It matches the Rfam family "Xanthomonas sRNA sX9". The record is from RNAcentral. Lineage: Bacteria; Pseudomonadati; Pseudomonadota; Gammaproteobacteria; Lysobacterales; Lysobacteraceae.